This 440-nucleotide ribosomal RNA is filed under the name uncultured bacterium. RNAcentral's name for it is "partial 16S ribosomal RNA". It matches the Rfam family "Bacterial small subunit ribosomal RNA", at positions 338 to 795 of the family's 1533-position model. The record is from RNAcentral.
CCUACGGGUGGCUGCAGUGGGGAAUAUUGGACAAUGGGCGCAAGCCUGAUCCAGCCAUGCCGCGUGAGUGAUGAAGGCCUUAGGGUUGUAAAGCUCUUUUGUCCGGGAAGAUAAUGACUGUACCGGAAGAAUAAGCCCCGGCUAACUUCGUGCCAGCAGCCGCGGUAAUACGAAGGGGGCUAGCGUUGCUCGGAAUCACUGGGCGUAAAGCGCACGUAGGCGGACUCUUAAGUCGGGGGUGAAAGCCCAGGGCUCAACCCUGGAAUUGCCUUCGAUACUGGGAGUCUUGAGUAUGGCAGAGGUUGGUGGAACUGCGAGUGUAGAGGUGAAAUUCGUAGAUAUUCGCAAGAACACCAGUGGCGAAGGCGGCCAACUGGGCCAUUACUGACGCUGAGGUGCGAAAGCGUGGGGAGCAAACAGGAUUAGAUACCCCAGUAGUC